GUUUGAUCCUGGCUCAGGACGAACGCUGGCGGCAGGCUUAACACAUGCAAGUCGAACGCUCUCUUCGGAGAGAGUGGCAGACGGGUGAGUAACGCGUGGGAAUCUACCCAGUACUACGGAACAACAGUUAGAAAUGACUGCUAAUACCGUAUACGCCCUCCGGGGGAAAGAUUUAUCGGUAUUGGAUGAGCCCGCGUUUGAUUAGCUAGUUGGUGAGGUAAUGGCUCACCAAGGCGACGAUCAAUAGCUGGUCUGAGAGGAUGAUCAGCCACACUGGGACUGAGACACGGCCCAGACUCCUACGGGAGGCAGCAGUGGGGAAUAUUGGACAAUGGGCGAAAGCCUGAUCCAGCCAUGCCGCGUGUGUGAUGAAGGCCCUAGGGUUGUAAAGCACUUUCAACGGUGAAGAUAAUGACGGUAACCGUAGAAGAAGCUCCGGCUAACUUCGUGCCAGCAGCCGCGGUAAUAAGG
RNAcentral lists this ribosomal RNA (471 nucleotides) under uncultured Alphaproteobacteria bacterium. RNAcentral's name for it is "bacterial SSU rRNA". It matches the Rfam family "Bacterial small subunit ribosomal RNA", at positions 11 to 528 of the family's 1533-position model. The record is from RNAcentral. Lineage: Bacteria; Pseudomonadati; Pseudomonadota; Alphaproteobacteria.